AUUGAACGCUGGCGGCAGGCCUAACACAUGCCAGUCGAGCGGAUGAAGGGAGCUUGCUCCUGGAUUCAGCGGCGGACGGGUGAGUAAUGCCUAGGAAUCUGCCUGGUAGUGGGGGAUAACGUCCGGAAACGGGCGCUAAUACCGCAUACGUCCUGAGGGAGAAAGUGGGGGAUCUUCGGACCUCACGCUAUCAGAUGAGCCUAGGUCGGAUUAGCUAGUUGGUGGGGUAAAGGCCUACCAAGGCGACGAUCCGUAACUGGUCUGAGAGGAUGAUCGGUCACACUGGAACUGAGACACGGUCCAGACUCCUACGGGAGGCAGCAGUGGGGAAUAUUGGACAAUGGGCGAAAGCCUGAUCCAGCCAUGCCGCGUGUGUGAAGAAGGUCUUCGGAUUGUAAAGCACUUUAAGUUGGGAGGAAGGGCAGUAAGUUAAUACCUUGCUGUUUUGACGUUACCAACAGAAUAAGCACCGGCUAACUUCGUG
RNAcentral lists this ribosomal RNA (484 nucleotides) under uncultured bacterium. Its description in RNAcentral is "partial 16S ribosomal RNA". It matches the Rfam family "Bacterial small subunit ribosomal RNA", at positions 30 to 507 of the family's 1533-position model. The record is from RNAcentral.